ACGACUCAACAAUGGAUAUCUGGGCUCUUGCAUCGAUGAAGAACGUAGUGAAAUGUGAUACUUGGUGUGAAUUACAAAAUCUUGUGAACCUUCGAGUCUUUGAAUGUAAGUUGUGCCCUAGGCCAUCGUGCUGAGGGAAAGCCUGCCUGGGCAUCA
Molecule: ribosomal RNA, 156 nt
Organism: Macadamia integrifolia
Lineage: Eukaryota; Viridiplantae; Streptophyta; Magnoliopsida; Proteales; Proteaceae
Product: 5.8S ribosomal RNA
Exons: 1
Source: RefSeq, a predicted model, not a curated record